RNAcentral lists this ribosomal RNA (253 nucleotides) under uncultured bacterium. RNAcentral describes it as "partial 16S ribosomal RNA". It matches the Rfam family "Bacterial small subunit ribosomal RNA", at positions 524 to 776 of the family's 1533-position model. The record is from RNAcentral.
UACGGAGGGUGCAAGCGUUGUCCGGAAUCAUUGGGCGUAAAGCGCACGUAGGCGGUCUGUUAUGUCGGAUGUGAAAGCCCUUGGCUUAACUGAGGAAGUGCAUCCGAAACUGGCAGGCUAGAGUACUAAAGAGGGUCGCGGAAUUCCCGGUGUAGAGGUGAAAUUCGUAGAUAUCGGGAGGAACACCGGUGGCGAAGGCGGCGACCUGGGUAGAUACUGACGCUGAGGUGCGAAAGCGUGGGGAGCAAACAGG